CCGGCACGGGUGAGUAACACGUAUCCAACCUGCCGUCUACUCUUGGCCAGCCUCUGAAGGAAGAUUAAUCCAGGAUGGCAUCAUGAGUUCACAUGUCCGCAUGAUUAAAGGUAUUUUCCGGUAGACGAUGGGGAUGCGUUCCAUUAGAUAGUAGGCGGGGUAACGGCCCGCCUAGUCAACGAUGGAUAGGGGUUCUGAGAGGAAGGUCCCCCACAUUGGAACUGAGACACGGUCCAA
RNAcentral lists this ribosomal RNA (237 nucleotides) under uncultured bacterium. Its description in RNAcentral is "partial 16S ribosomal RNA". It matches the Rfam family "Bacterial small subunit ribosomal RNA", at positions 100 to 334 of the family's 1533-position model. The record is from RNAcentral.